Molecule: ribosomal RNA, 487 nt
Filed under: gamma proteobacterium MED20
Lineage: Bacteria; Pseudomonadati; Pseudomonadota; Gammaproteobacteria
Description: bacterial SSU rRNA
Rfam family: Bacterial small subunit ribosomal RNA
Source: RNAcentral
GAACGCUGGCGGCAGGCCUAACACAUGCAAGUCGAGCGGCAGCACGGGGAGCUUGCUUCCCUGUGGCGAGCGGCGGACGGGUGAGUAAUGCAUAGGAAUCUGCCCGGUAGUGGGGGAUAACGUGGGGAAACCCACGCUAAUACCGCAUACGUCCUACGGGAGAAAGCGGAGGAUCUUCGGACUUCGCGCUAUCGGAUGAGCCUAUGUCGGAUUAGCUAGUUGGUAAGGUAACGGCUUACCAAGGCAACGAUCCGUAGCUGGUCUGAGAGGAUGAUCAGCCACACUGGGACUGAGACACGGCCCAGACUCCUACGGGAGGCAGCAGUGGGGAAUAUUGGACAAUGGGCGAAAGCCUGAUCCAGCCAUGCCGCGUGUGUGAAGAAGGCUUUCGGGUUGUAAAGCACUUUCAGCGAGGAAGAAAGCCUCUGGGUUAAUACCCCAGAGGAAGGACAUCACUCGCAGAAGAAGCACCGGCUAACUCCGUGCC